Molecule: ribosomal RNA, 239 nt
Filed under: uncultured bacterium
Lineage: Bacteria
Description: partial 16S ribosomal RNA
Rfam family: Bacterial small subunit ribosomal RNA
Source: RNAcentral
GAUCAUGGCUCAGGAUGAACGCUAGCUACAGGCUUAACACAUGCAAGUCGAGGGGCAUCAGUUUGGUUUGCUUGCAAACCAAAGCUGGCGACCGGCGCACGGGUGAGUAACACGUAUCCAACCUGCCUCAUACUCGGGGAUAGCCUUUCGAAAGAAAGAUUAAUAUCCGAUAGCAUAUAUUUCCCGCAUGGGUUUUANAUUAAAGUAAAAUUACGGUUAGUGAGAUGGGAGUGCGUUCC